Molecule: ribosomal RNA, 253 nt
Filed under: uncultured bacterium
Lineage: Bacteria
Description: partial 16S ribosomal RNA
Rfam family: Bacterial small subunit ribosomal RNA
Source: RNAcentral
UACAGAGGUCUCAAGCGUUGUUCGGAUUCAUUGGGCGUAAAGGGUGCGUAGGCGGUGCGGUACGUCGGGUGUGAAAUCUCGGAGCUUAACUCCGAAACUGCAUUCGAUACUGCCGUGCUUGAGGACUGGAGAGGAGACUGGAAUUUACGGUGUAGCGGUGAAAUGCGUAGAUAUCGUAAGGAAGACCAGUGGCGAAGGCGGGUCUCUGGACAGUUCCUGACGCUGAGGCACGAAGGUCAGGGGAGCAAACGGG